AGUGAACGCUGGCGGUAGGCCUAACACAUGCAAGUCGAACGGCAGCACAGUAAGAGCUUGCUCUUACGGGUGGCGAGUGGCGGACAGGUGAGGAAUACAUCGGAAUCUACUUUUUCGUGGGGGAUAACGUAGGGAAACUUACGCUAAUACCGCAUACGACCUACGGGUGAAAGCAGGGGAUCUUCGGACCUUGCGCGAUUGAAUGAGCCGAUGUCGGAUUAGCUAGUUGGCGGGGUAAAGGCCCACCAAGGCGACGAUCCGUAGCUGGUCUGAGAGGAUGAUCAGCCACACUGGAACUGAGACACGGUCCAGACUCCUACGGGAGGCAGCAGUGGGGAAUAUUGGACAAUGGGCGCAAGCCUGAUCCAGCCAUACCGCGUGAGUGAAGAAGGCCUUCGGGUUGUAAAGCCCUUUUGUUGGGAAAGAAAAGCAGCAGGUUAAUACCCCGCUGUUCUGACGGUACCCAAAGAAUAAGCACCGGCUAACUUCGUG
Molecule: ribosomal RNA, 492 nt
Filed under: uncultured bacterium
Lineage: Bacteria
Description: partial 16S ribosomal RNA
Rfam family: Bacterial small subunit ribosomal RNA
Source: RNAcentral